Molecule: RNA transcript, 735 nt
Organism: Sphaerodactylus townsendi
Lineage: Eukaryota; Metazoa; Chordata; Lepidosauria; Squamata; Sphaerodactylidae
Gene: DPY30
Gene name: dpy-30 histone methyltransferase complex regulatory subunit
Exons: 6
Source: RefSeq, a predicted model, not a curated record
CGUACUACAGCCAUUGACGCACGACGUUCUCAUUUACGGUACCCGUGUACGACAAGCCGUUGGAAGUGGUUACCGCAGUCGGUUGUUUUGCUCGUUGCUCCGCGACCGGUCUUUGGUUACUGUUUGCAUCUGCGGCCCACGAUUGCCCGGCCUACUUUAUAUUUGAUAACUUCUACAUAACAUAUCAUGGACACAGAACAGAUUAUGGAGAACCAGCCACAGGUUCCAGAGAAUCCUCAUGCAGAAUAUGGUCUUACAGAAAAUGUCGAGCGGAUAGCAGAAAAUGAGAAGACUGCUGCAGAGAAGACAUCAAAACAGAAGGUGGAUCUUCAGUCAUUACCUACACGUGCCUAUUUGGAUCAGACAGUUGUGCCUAUCUUGCUACAAGGCCUUGCAGUACUUGCAAAAGAGAGCAUGUUUUUCUUCUUGCUCUUCUAUGUAGCAAAGUGAACUGCUAGUAGAUCUGUCUCUCCCACUUUGCAGGGGAGGGAAAAAUUGUAGCAAGGCCACCAAAUCCUAUUGAAUUCCUAGCAACAUAUCUGCUAAAAAAUAAGGCACAAUUUGAGGACCGAAAUUAACUCCUUUAGAAGACAACCUCAUGACUGCUCAGCGUAUAUUCUUAAAUAAUCAUGAAUCAUUGUCUGAUGUAUAAAUCCUUCAAAACCAAAAAUGUCCUUCUCAUACCACUUCUUUAGCCUUUUUUCCCAAUUAUUUAAUAAAGUACUUUACAUUUUA